Long non-coding RNA from Seriola dumerili (greater amberjack), 687 nucleotides. RefSeq lists it as uncharacterized. The transcript has 3 exons. The record is from RefSeq and is a predicted model, not a curated record. NCBI's taxonomy places the organism in Eukaryota, Metazoa, Chordata, Actinopteri, Carangiformes, Carangidae.
CUAUCUAUCUAUCUAUCUAUCUAUCUAUCUAUCUAUCUAGCAAUAAUGGAUCACAUGAUUGUCAAUAUUAUUCUCUCUAUGUGUUUUGGUCAGUUAUAUUUUCUACAAACAUAAAACACUACAUGAUCGUUAUGUAGACAAACUAACAUGGAUAAUGUUCUUUACAAUUAUGUUUUUAUUUUAGUUUGAGUCAAACAAGUCAGUGAUGAGCUCCUCACUGUGUCGGUCCUAACGGUUUAAAACCACUUCAUAUGAUUUGCGCGGAGAUAUGUGGUUUUGACAGGACGGAGACAGUUUAAUAAUCCAUUAGAUCGAAUAAAAGUUAAGAGAAGGACAAUAAAACACGGAACAAGGACUUUACACGGUGACAAGUUGUAUCAUGGUCUUUUAAUUUGAAAACCUGGAAGCGGACAUGGGUGUGUCGUGUUUAAAUUAGUGCCUCCAAACAGCAGCUGUUAGCCUGUUAGCUCAUGAAUGUUACGUCUUUCUGUGGCUGAGUUUUGGAUAAAAUGCCUCGGGUCGGAGCUGAGGAGGAGCUGCGAACUCUGGCGGAGUGUCAAUACAGUUAUCCAGCAGAGACUCUGUCUGAUCUUCAGAGGGUUCGAUCACUUUUCUCUGAUCUUCGUCUUUAUGUAGAUUUUUACUGUUUUCCUAGCAAAGAGAAGAAGAAGUUGGUUUACCUGGCCG